GAGAGUGACUUAAAACACUAAUCCUCACUCUUUUGGAUACGCUUCUCAUUCAUGCUGCCAAUGCGGCCCACCAGAAAAUCAUAAAAAAAUCAAAACGCGAAAACUCGGUGAAUGCCGUGUAGAACAUAAAGCUCCACUCCACGCGUGUUAAUCGUUACUUUACCUUCAAGGGGAACGAAGGUGGCGUUUGCGCGUGCCCGCGGACCGCAAGGCUCGGUGACCUUGGAGGAGAAAGAUGCCGCUGCUCUCUCUGCCUGACUGAUGAGACCACCGAAGGAAGAAGCUCUUUCCACACCUUGAUGUUUACCUCUGCUGUCAGCUUGUUUCCACAAGGCUGGCGAAGGAAGGACCCAGCUGCUUGCGGUCAGGGAGCGACUGGAGCUUCUGAGGAGGCGGGGUUGAAAGCGGCGUCGGAAGAGGAGGCCAUGAGGAAGCAAUCCAUGUGAAUGCUCUCCAAAAUCCUGCAAAAGUCCACAGGGAUCUAAUCAAUCACUACAAACAGGCAAAAGGACUCCAGCAUGCCAUUCCUGCCCCGGAUUCCUGCUGGGAUGAUGUUGUCUGUUUGGUUUUUUUUCCCUGCAGAGAGAGGUUAGCUCAGUGAAAUGCUUAACGAAUGUAUUAUUCCACCCAUAACUUGCCACACAUGUCAAGACGAUAAUUAACGUAAUUAACGGAAGUGUUCCUCUCACAAAGGUUGCGUAUGUCAUUGAAUUAAAAAAAAAAAAAAAAAAAAGCAUAACAGAAGGAAAUGACAGUGAGUGCAGUCGAUACAUUGUUUCAAACCCCAGUAGCACAAUCCAAAUGUAUUGAUAAAUUUACAAAUAACUGGAGCAUGAGAAAAAUGCUGCAAGGUGUGUACUUCACUUCCCA
Phycodurus eques (leafy seadragon) is the source of this 870-nucleotide long non-coding RNA. RefSeq lists it as uncharacterized. NCBI's taxonomy places the organism in Eukaryota, Metazoa, Chordata, Actinopteri, Syngnathiformes, Syngnathidae. The record is from RefSeq and is a predicted model, not a curated record. The transcript has 3 exons.